Molecule: unclassified non-coding RNA, 249 nt
Filed under: plant metagenome
Description: partial contains small subunit ribosomal RNA and internal transcribed spacer 1
Rfam family: Eukaryotic small subunit ribosomal RNA (bases 1-46)
Source: RNAcentral
AAGUCGUAACAAGGUUUCCGUAGGUGAACCUGCGGAAGGAUCAUUAAAGAAUACCUGGACUCCGGUCCUCGUCGAGAAAGGUCGUCCCGGGUGGCCCCAGGUCCCGGGGCUUCCCCCUCUUACCCUCUGUUUACUCUACCUCUGUUGCUUUGGCACAGCCUCGCCGGUGCUGCGGUCGUUGGGCUCUGCCGGAGGGCCCCAACUCGUGGAUAGUCUAUGUUUGUCUGAGUACGAUAUAAUCGUUUACAA